UCCAGUGAGCCAGGGCCGUUUUCCAAUAGUCAAUUCGUCUCCGUAGCAGACUUCGUGAUGGAAACUAAUUCCCAAUUGUGGGCCUGAAUUGUUAAAGUUCAUUGAAGUACUGUAAUGUUUGGCUCUUUUGCAUCUUACUUGAUUUUUUGGCACUAUUAGACUUACUACUGCGCUUAGAACCUAAAAGUCAGGAAGUAAAAAAAAAAAAAAAAGUUGAAGCCUGAUACGGAGCUCAAGUCGAGUAUUGGAAAACGGCCCAGGCACUCCGUGCGUGACGUAAUUACGCGAAGCUGAUCGACGCUGCAUCGAAAACCAUUUACAUAUGGCGGACCGACUACAGACAGAUACACUGCAACAAGUGCAAACAACACGUGGGUGCGGUGACACACGUGCACGUGUAGUACUAUACUAUCAGAGCGAAUUUUCGCGACGUUGUGUAUUGAAGAAAUUAGUGAGGAAUCGCUGACACACCUUCAUGAUGACAUUGAUGGACUCUGACAAGUUUGGCCUCGCAGAAAAUGAUGAAGGUGACUCUGAUGUUAGCCGUAGCACAGACAGAGAAGACGUGGGCUCAAGAGAGACUCAAGUUCCAGUGAGGACCCAAGUGACAGCUACUCCCACAGUGAUGAGGAACAAGAACAGUGGAUGGAGAAAACAGCAGAUUUGGGAAGGCCUCGUUGCCAGGUGAAUGUACAUGUACUGCCAUGGCUGCCUACAUGAAUGUUGAGGCUGGCUAGUGUCAUGGUGCAAGUGGACUGACUGAUGAUAUCUCCAAAGUGAAGAGGCAGGUUACUUCAUGAGUAGCACAGGCCUCCUCAUAUGAAAGCUGUGGGUAUGCCCCAGGAGAAGC
RNAcentral lists this long non-coding RNA (850 nucleotides) under Acanthaster planci (crown-of-thorns starfish). RNAcentral describes it as "uncharacterized LOC110978176, transcript variant X2". The record is from RNAcentral. Lineage: Eukaryota; Metazoa; Echinodermata; Asteroidea; Valvatida; Acanthasteridae.